UUCUCUAAUCAGUGAAACUGAUCUCUCCGUGAAGAAGCGGGGAUACUCCUAUAAGACGAAAAGACCCCAUGGAGCUUCAAACCCAACUACACCCUUAACUACCACAACCGCACAACCUCUUAGGGCCCUGUAUAGUUGGUUUUAGGUUGGGGCGACCACGGAGUACAACCAAACCUCCGCAAUGGACGGGACCACUCCCUUAUCUAAGAGCCACACCUCUAAGAAUUAAAACACUAACAUAAAAUGAUCCAUGAUCUGAUCAAUGAACCAAGUUACCCUGGGGAUAACAGCGCAAUCCAUUUCAAGAGCCCUUAUCGACAAGUGGGUUUACGACCUCGAUGUUGGAUCAGGGUAUCCUAGUGGUGCAGCAGCUACUAAUGGUUCGUUUGUUCAACGAUUAAAACCCU
This 407-nucleotide ribosomal RNA is filed under the name Mantidactylus opiparis. RNAcentral's name for it is "partial 16S ribosomal RNA". It matches the Rfam family "Bacterial large subunit ribosomal RNA", at positions 2025 to 2597 of the family's 2925-position model. Lineage: Eukaryota; Metazoa; Chordata; Amphibia; Anura; Mantellidae. The record is from RNAcentral.